CCUUAAAUAUGUUUUGCCAGCCCUUUCUGGCUUGCCAGGUUUCUAUGGACAGGUCUGAAUUAUUCUGAUAUUCCUCCUUCUCUGGACAUAUAAAUCUCUU
This is a long non-coding RNA of Mustela erminea (ermine), 100 nucleotides long. RefSeq lists it as uncharacterized. Lineage: Eukaryota; Metazoa; Chordata; Mammalia; Carnivora; Mustelidae. The record is from RefSeq and is a predicted model, not a curated record. The transcript is spliced from 3 exons.